GAUGAACGCUGGCGGCGUGCCUAAUACAUGCAAGUCGAGCGAACAGACGAGGAGCUUGCUCCUCUGAUGUUAGCGGCGGACGGGUGAGUAACACGUGGAUAACCUACCUAUAAGACUGGGAUAACUUCGGGAAACCGGAGCUAAUACCGGAUAACAUGUUGAACCGCAUGGUUCAACAGUGAAAGACGGUCUUGCUGUCACUUAUAGAUGGAUCCGCGCCGCAUUAGCUAGUUGGUAAGGUAACGGCUUACCAAGGCAACGAUGCGUAGCCGACCUGAGAGGGUGAUCGGCCAUACUGGAACUGAGACACGGUCCAGACUCCUACGGGAGGCAGCAGUAGGGAAUCUUCCGCAAUGGGCGAAAGCCUGACGGAGCAACGCCGCGUGAGUGAAGAAGGUCUUCGGAUCGUAAAACUCUGUUAUUAGGGAAGAACAAAUGUGUAAGUAACUAUGCACGUCUUGACGGUACCUAAUCAGAAAGCCACGGCUAACUACGUG
This 497-nucleotide ribosomal RNA is filed under the name uncultured bacterium. RNAcentral describes it as "partial 16S ribosomal RNA". It matches the Rfam family "Bacterial small subunit ribosomal RNA", at positions 28 to 507 of the family's 1533-position model. The record is from RNAcentral.